CCUACGGGAGGCAGCAGUGAGGAAUAUUGGUCAAUGGGCGCGAGCCUGAACCAGCCAAGCCGCGUGAGGGAGGACGGCCCUACGGGUUGUAAACCUCUUUUGCCGGGGAGCAACGGGCGUCACGUGUGGCGCCACUGAGAGUACCCGGAGAAAAAGCAUCGGCUAACUCCGUGCCAGCCGCCGCGGUAAUACGGAGGAUGCGAGCGUUAUCCGGAUUUAUUGGGUUUAAAGGGUGCGUAGGCGGAUCGUUAAGUCAGUGGUCAAAUUGAGGGGCUCAAGCCCUUCCCGCCAUUGAAACUGGCGCUCUUGAGUGGAAGAGAAGUGUGCGGAAUGCGUGGUGUAGCGGUGAAAUGCAUAGAUAUCACGCAGAACCCCGAUUGCGAAGGCAGCAUGCCGGCUUCCGACUGACGCUGAAGCACGAAAGCGUGGGGAUCGAACAGGAUUAGAUACCCCAGUAGUC
Molecule: ribosomal RNA, 460 nt
Filed under: uncultured bacterium
Lineage: Bacteria
Description: partial 16S ribosomal RNA
Rfam family: Bacterial small subunit ribosomal RNA
Source: RNAcentral